CAAUAGCGUAUAUUUAAGUUGUUGCAGUUAAAAAGACUCGUAGUUGGAUUUCGGUUGAGAACGGCCGGUCCGCCGUUUGGUGUGCACUGGCUGGUCUCAACUUCCUGUAGAGGACGCGCUCUGGGUUAACGCUCGGACGCGGAGUCUACGUGGUUACUUUGAAAAAAUUAGAGUGUUCAAAGCGGGCUUACGCUUGAAUAUUUCAGCAUGGAAUAACACUAUAGGACUCCUGUCCUAUUUCGUUGGUCUCGGGACGGGAGUAAUGAUUAAGAGGAACAUUGGGGGCAUUCGAUUUCAUUGUCAGAGGUGAAAUUCUUGGAUUUAUGAAAAGACGAAACUUCUGCGAAAAGCAAUUUGCCAAGGAUGUUUUCAUUAAUCAAGAACGAAAUUGGGG
Molecule: ribosomal RNA, 394 nt
Filed under: uncultured eukaryote
Lineage: Eukaryota
Description: SSU rRNA
Rfam family: Eukaryotic small subunit ribosomal RNA
Source: RNAcentral